UGGGGAAUAUUGGACAAUGGGCGAAAGCCUGAUCCAGCCAUGCCGCGUGUGUGAAGAAGGUCUUCGGAUUGUAAAGCACUUUAAGUUGGGAGGAAGGGCAUUAACCUAAUACGUUAGUGUUUUGACGUUACCGACAGAAUAAGCACCGGCUAACUCUGUGCCAGCAGCCGCGGUAAUACAGAGGGUCCAAGCGUUAAUCGGAAUUACUGGGCGUAAAGCGCGCGUAGGUGGUUUGUUAAGUUGGAUGUGAAAGCCCCGGGCUCAACCUGGGAACUGCAUCCAAAACUGGCAAGCUAGAGUACGGUAGAGGGUGGUGGAAUUUCCUGUGUAGCGGUGAAAUGCGUAGAUAUAGGAAGGAACACCAGUGGCGAAGGCGACCACCUGGACUGAUACUGACACUGAGGUGCGAAAGCGUGGGGAGCAAACA
Molecule: ribosomal RNA, 427 nt
Filed under: uncultured bacterium
Lineage: Bacteria
Description: partial 16S ribosomal RNA
Rfam family: Bacterial small subunit ribosomal RNA
Source: RNAcentral